AAUGAACGCUGGCGGUAGGCCUAACACAUGCCAGUCGAACGGCAGCACCGUAAGAGCUUGCUCUUACGUGUGUCGAGUGGCGGACUGUUGCGUUAUACAUCGGAAUCUACUUUUUCGUGGGUGAUAACGUAGGGAAACUUACGCUAAUACCGCAUACGACCUACAGGUGUGAGCAGGGGAUCUUCGGACCUUUCGCGAUUGUAUGAGCCGAUGUCGGCUUAGCUAGUUGGCGGGGUAAAGGGCCACCAAGGCGACGCUCGGUAGCUGGUCUGAGAGGAUGAUCAGCCACACUGGAAGUGAGACACGGUACAGACUCCUGCGGGAGGCAGCAGUGGGGAAUAUUGGACAAUGGGCGAAAGCCUGAUCCAGCAAUACCGCGUGGGGGAAGAAGGACUUCGGGUUGUAAAGUCCUUUUGUUGGGAAAGAAAAGAAGCAGGUUAAUACCCCGCGGUUAUGACGGUACCGAAAGAAUAAGCACCGGCUAACUUCGUG
This 492-nucleotide ribosomal RNA is filed under the name uncultured bacterium. Its description in RNAcentral is "partial 16S ribosomal RNA". It matches the Rfam family "Bacterial small subunit ribosomal RNA", at positions 29 to 507 of the family's 1533-position model. The record is from RNAcentral.